UUAAGCGACUAAGCGUACACGGUGGAUGCCCUGGCAGUCAGAGGCGAUGAAGGACGUGCUAAUCUGCGAUAAGCGUCGGUAAGGUGAUAUGAACCGUUAUAACCGGCGAUUUCCGAAUGGGGAAACCCAGUGUGAUUCGUCACACUAUCAUUACGUGAAUACAUAGCGUAAUGAAGCGAACCGGGGGAACUGAAACAUCUAAGUACCCCGAGGAAAAGAAAUCAACCGAGAUUCCCCCAGUAGCGGCGAGCGAACGGGGAGCAGCCCAGAGUCUGAAUCAGCUUGUGUGUUAGUGGAACGGUCUGGAAAGUCCGACGGUACAGGGUGAUAGUCCCGUACACCAAAAUGCACAGGUUGUGAACUCGAAGAGUAGGGCGGGACACGUGGUAUCCUGUCUGAAUAUGGGGGGACCAUCCUCCAAGGCUAAAUACUCCUGACUGACCGAUAGUGAACCAGUACCGUGAGGGAAAGGCGAAAAGAACCCCGGCGAGGGGAGUGAAAAAGAACCUGAAACCGUGUACGUACAAGCAGUGGGAGCCUCUUUAUGGGGUGACUGCGUACCUUUUGUAUAAUGGGUCAGCGACUUAUAUUCUGUAGCAAGGUUAACCGUAUAGGGGAGCCGAAGGGAAACCGAGUCUUAACUGGGCGUUAAGUUGCAGGGUAUAGACCCGAAACCCGGUGAUCUAGCCAUGGGCAGGUUGAAGGUUGGGUAACACUAACUGGAGGACCGAACCGACUAAUGUUGAAAAAUUAGCGGAUGACUUGUGGCUGGGGGUGAAAGGCCAAUCAAACCGGGAGAUAGCUGGUUCUCCCCGAAAGCUAUUUAGGUAGCGCCUCGUGAAUUCAUCUUCGGGGGUAGAGCACUGUUUCGGCUAGGGGGUCAUCCCGACUUACCAACCCGAUGCAAACUGCGAAUACCGAAGAAUGUUAUCACGGGAGACACACGGCGGGUGCUAACGUCCGUCGUGAAGAGGGAAACAACCCAGACCGCCAGCUAAGGUCCCAAAGUCAUGGUUAAGUGGGAAACGAUGUGGGAAGGCACAGACAGCCAGGAUGUUGGCUUAGAAGCAGCCAUCAUUUAAAGAAAGCGUAAUAGCUCACUGGUCGAGUCGGCCUGCGCGGAAGAUGUAACGGGGCUAAACCAUGCACCGAAGCUGCGGCAGCGACACUAUGUGUUGUUGGGUAGGGGAGCGUUCUGUAAGCCGUUGAAGGUGUACUGUGAGGUAUGCUGGAGGUAUCAGAAGUGCGAAUGCUGACAUAAGUAACGAUAAUGCGGGUGAAAAACCCGCACGCCGGAAGACCAAGGGUUCCUGUCCAACGUUAAUCGGGGCAGGGUGAGUCGACCCCUAAGGCGAGGCCGAAAGGCGUAGUCGAUGGGAAACAGGUUAAUAUUCCUGUACUUGGUGUUACUGCGAAGGGGGGACGGAGAAGGCUAUGUUAGCCGGGCGACGGUUGUCCCGGUUUAAGCAUGUAGGCGGAGGUUCCAGGUAAAUCCGGUACCUUUUAACGCUGAGGUGUGAUGACGAGGCACUACGGUGCUGAAGUAACAAAUGCCCUGCUUCCAGGAAAAGCCUCUAAGCAUCAGGUAACACGAAAUCGUACCCCAAACCGACACAGGUGGUCAGGUAGAGAAUACCAAGGCGCUUGAGAGAACUCGGGUGAAGGAACUAGGCAAAAUGGUGCCGUAACUUCGGGAGAAGGCACGCUGAUAUGUAGGUGAAGUGAUUUACUCAUGGAGCUGAAAUCAGUCGAAGAUACCAGCUGGCUGCAACUGUUUAUUAAAAACACAGCACUGUGCAAACACGAAAGUGGACGUAUACGGUGUGACGCCUGCCCGGUGCCGGAAGGUUAAUUGAUGGGGUUAUCCGUAAGGAGAAGCUCUUGAUCGAAGCCCCGGUAAACGGCGGCCGUAACUAUAACGGUCCUAAGGUAGCGAAAUUCCUUGUCGGGUAAGUUCCGACCUGCACGAAUGGCGUAAUGAUGGCCAGGCUGUCUCCACCCGAGACUCAGUGAAAUUGAACUCGCUGUGAAGAUGCAGUGUACCCGCGGCAAGACGGAAAGACCCCGUGAACCUUUACUAUAGCUUGACACUGAACACUGGUCCUUGAUGUGUAGGAUAGGUGGGAGGCUUUGAAGUGUGGACGCCAGUCUGCAUGGAGCCAUCCUUGAAAUACCACCCUUUAAUGGCUGGUGUUCUAACGUGGACCCGUGAUCCGGGUUGCGGACAGUGUCUGGUGGGUAGUUUGACUGGGGCGGUCUCCUCCUAAAGAGUAACGGAGGAGCACGAAGGUUAGCUAAUCCUGGUCGGACAUCAGGAGGUUAGUGCAAAGGCAUAAGCUAGCUUGACUGCGAGAGUGACGGCUCGAGCAGGUGCGAAAGCAGGUCUUAGUGAUCCGGUGGUUCUGAAUGGAAGGGCCAUCGCUCAACGGAUAAAAGGUACUCCGGGGAUAACAGGCUGAUACCGCCCAAGAGUUCAUAUCGACGGCGGUGUUUGGCACCUCGAUGUCGGCUCAUCACAUCCUGGGGCUGAAGUAGGUCCCAAGGGUAUGGCUGUUCGCCAUUUAAAGUGGUACGCGAGCUGGGUUUAGAACGUCGUGAGACAGUUCGGUCCCUAUCUGCCGUGGGCGCUGGAGAAUUGAGGGGGGCUGCUCCUAGUACGAGAGGACCGGAGUGGACGCAUCACUGGUGUUCGGGUUGUCAUGCCAAUGGCAUUGCCCGGUAGCUAAAUGCGGAAGAGAUAAGUGCUGAAAGCAUCUAAGCACGAAACUUGCCCCGAGAUGAGUUCUCCCUGAGACUUAAAGUCUCCUGAAGGAACGUUAAAGACGAUGACGUUGAUAGGUCGGGUGUGUAAGUGUAGCGAUACAUUGAGCUAACCGAUACUAAUGAACCGUGAGGCUUAACCU
RNAcentral lists this ribosomal RNA (2903 nucleotides) under Citrobacter freundii. RNAcentral describes it as "23S ribosomal RNA". It matches the Rfam family "Bacterial large subunit ribosomal RNA". Lineage: Bacteria; Pseudomonadati; Pseudomonadota; Gammaproteobacteria; Enterobacterales; Enterobacteriaceae. The record is from RNAcentral.